RNAcentral lists this ribosomal RNA (253 nucleotides) under uncultured bacterium. RNAcentral's name for it is "partial 16S ribosomal RNA". It matches the Rfam family "Bacterial small subunit ribosomal RNA", at positions 524 to 776 of the family's 1533-position model. The record is from RNAcentral.
UACGUAGGUGGCAAGCGUUGUCCGGAUUUACUGGGCGUAAAGAGCGCGCAGGCGGCUGGAUAAGUCGAAUGUGAAAGCCCCCGGCUCAACUGGGGAGGGUCACGCGAUACUGAUCGACUCGAAGGCAGGAGAGGGUAGUGGAAUUCCCGGUGUAGUGGUGAAAUGCGUAGAUAUCGGGAGGAACACCAGUGGCGAAGGCGACUACCUGGCCUGUUCUUGACGCUGAGGCGCGAAAGCUAGGGUAGCAAACGGG